RNAcentral lists this transfer RNA (73 nucleotides) under Trichonephila clavata. It matches the Rfam family "tRNA". Rfam says of the family: Transfer RNA (tRNA) molecules are approximately 80 nucleotides in length. Their secondary structure includes four short double-helical elements and three loops (D, anti-codon, and T loops). Further hydrogen bonds mediate the characteristic L-shaped molecular structure. tRNAs have two regions of fundamental functional importance: the anti-codon, which is responsible for specific mRNA codon recognition, and the 3' end, to which the tRNAs corresponding amino acid is attached (by aminoacyl-tRNA synthetases). tRNAs cope with the degeneracy of the genetic code in two manners: having more than one tRNA (with a specific anti-codon) for a particular amino acid; and 'wobble' base-pairing, i.e. permitting non-standard base-pairing at the 3rd anti-codon position. Lineage: Eukaryota; Metazoa; Arthropoda; Arachnida; Araneae; Nephilidae. The record is from Rfam by way of RNAcentral.
GUCUCUGUAGAGCAAUGGAUAGCGCGUUGGACUUCUUAUCCAAAGGUCGUAGGUUCAAAUCCAACCUGGGAUG